Molecule: long non-coding RNA, 1587 nt
Organism: Thunnus maccoyii (southern bluefin tuna)
Lineage: Eukaryota; Metazoa; Chordata; Actinopteri; Scombriformes; Scombridae
Exons: 2
Source: RefSeq, a predicted model, not a curated record
UUAAGUUGAUGGUGAAUCACCAAACAAAUAAAACACAAAAUUUAGGAGUGAUAGACUUGAGUUUAAUGUGUCUGUGACUGAUAUCCAAUAUGUGGGUGCGUUAGCCAGUAAAAGACUUGUGAAGGCUGCUCUUGUGUAUCCUCAGAGAUCCCUCCUUGCUCCUCAGUGCAGAAAUAAGAGCUUUGAGAAGGCCUUCAAAAUGGCGGACCAGAACAACCUCCAGUCGACGAGUGAGGAAAAUUCAAAUAAAAGACUUGAGAUCUAUCCAUGGACACGAGAAGGAAAGGAAAGAGGAGGGGAAUAAAGGGGGGGAGUAAGACUCCAAAUAUUCAACACUCUUCAAGCCCUCUUGAGUUUGACCUUUGACCUUGCCUCACCAGUAUGCUGCAGGGUUCAGCUCUCCUCUGUGAGACGCCUGUUCCAGCAGAUAUUUUGGUUUUUUACCAAACACACACACACACAAAAACUCUGGAUCUCUGCCAGAUAUUAAACCCUCUGCAGUGAUGCAGAUGAAGUAAAUUAUGUUGACUGUGAGAAUUGGCCGACAGCAACUAGACGGUUUGUCUGCUGGUUUGUUUGUCUGUUAAAGUGAAUUUUACAGAAAAUACAGGAUACAUGAUGAUACUGUUGGAUGUAGUCUGUAUUAUGGUUACAUAUAGCAUGUAUAAACUGUAUAAUCUUAGUGACUCUACAACAUACAGCUUGUCUUUUGUCGGUAUCUGUAAUGUUUGUUUUGUUUAUGUUGGCGCCUACAGGACUGCAUUUUGUGUUUUAUAGUUUUUAGUUGCUGUUUAAAGUCCAACUGAAAUCACAUUUAAUCGUCCCUCUUUGCAUUCAAAUAUAAUGUCGAUAUGUUUUUCUUGAAUUUAUUGUUAAUAGUUUUGUAUUACAAUAAAGAAAAAAUGGAAAAAUAUCUGAGAUGCUUUUUGGGCGGCGUGUCAUAGUCUGUGUUUGAUUGACAGCAGCUGGCAGGCUACCGGUGCUACACCGUACAGAACAGAGACAAAGUAAACAAACCGCUGUAGCGACAAGUCAUCUAACUACAAAUCGCUAACAGGGAUUUUGAAGAGAGAUGACCAAACCAACAUCUAACAGGACAUUUGCAGCUUGAUGUGCCAUUCGGUGAGCAGGGUGAUCUUUCAGGAUCACUCCAACAGUGUCGCGGACACGGCUGUCGAGAGCUGGCGCACCAUCAGCUAGUACAUUACGUACGGGCUUUCCCCUUGAACGCUUAGAUGAAAGAGCUUCUCCAGCAGCUGUUGAGGAAGCUUCUUCACCUGCAACCAAAUUCAAAUGCCAGAAGGAAGGUGCAAGGAGAGUCAAGUGCAAGGGGAAGUCAGAAUCUGACAUGGAGCUGCAGAAGCUCGUUAUUGAUGCUGACCCAAAUCCUGAUGCAUUCACUACAUUUAGAGACCAGGUAGCAUCUGAAUUAUGACAAAUACAAGACCCAGCCAAUGUCACUAGUUUGAAAAGGAACACUGCCAGCACUGUACAUCAGUCCACCCGCAUGUCACAUGAGGGCUCUUGAUCUCAAAGCUGUUUGCAAACACUGCAAAACUACGAUCCAAAUGAAAGCCUGUAAAAACC